UACGUAGGGGGCAAGCGUUAUCCGGAUUUACUGGGUGUAAAGGGAGCGUAGACGGUUGUAUAAGUCUGGAGUGAAAGCCCGGGGCCCAACCCCGGGACUGCUUUGGAAACUGUGUAACUUGAGUACAGGAGGGGCAGGCGGAAUUCCUGGUGUAGCGGUGAAAUGCAUAGAUAUCGCGCAGAACCCCGAUUGCGAAGGCAGCCUGCCGGCCCCACACUGACGCUGAGGCACGAAAGCGUGGGUAUCGAACAGG
Molecule: ribosomal RNA, 253 nt
Filed under: uncultured Eubacteriales bacterium
Lineage: Bacteria; Bacillati; Bacillota; Clostridia; Eubacteriales
Description: uncultured Clostridiales bacterium partial 16S ribosomal RNA
Rfam family: Bacterial small subunit ribosomal RNA
Source: RNAcentral